Long non-coding RNA from Triticum dicoccoides, 2693 nucleotides. RefSeq lists it as uncharacterized. The record is from RefSeq and is a predicted model, not a curated record. The transcript is spliced from 5 exons. Lineage: Eukaryota; Viridiplantae; Streptophyta; Magnoliopsida; Poales; Poaceae.
CGAAUUAAUUGCGAGCGUAGGGAUCGAAACGACCGCAGCGCUUUAACCGAGUGGACCACGAAUUGAGCCUUAUGUUUUGGAAAUCUGGCGAUUUUGAAAUAAGCCUUAUAAACUGGUAAGGAGGGAGUACACAGGAGAGGUCACCGGGGCCGCUUUAGCGUGGUGCCGCGCGGGUUCUGUCGCUUUUGCUUCACCGUUGGCCUAGCUGCGGAUGGACACUGAGGGAAUGGAAUUCCUACUGGAUGUGGUCGACAGGUUCCCAGUGCGGGAGGAGUAUGCAGAUAAUGUUGACCAUCCGGAUCCAGUCUUGCUCAUGUACCUUCUGGAUAAGGGGGCUGCGAGUCCGGAGAUUGGUCAGGCAGACGUUGAUUCUGGGGUAGCUGAGAUGGUGUGCGGAGGUGUGCUAACUGACGCUGAAGUAGGUGCCCCCCGUAGACGUGAUGAAUCUUCGACGAGGUCUGCCCAAUCAUCGGGCAGAGUCAAUCCACAGGCCCCGGCUGGACUAAGAGGUGAAGCUCAGAGAACAACCAUCUCUAGUUUCUGUUUUUGCUGUUACAAGAGUACCUACGUUUGAUCUGUGGUUCAAUGUUCACAUGAACAAAAGCUUGUUUCUCCAUUUGGGGGAAAGUACUGGUUACACCAAACCUCUAACAAGAAAACUUAGAACUGGAAAAAUUGCUGGUACGAUUAUCAACUCUCAAAUGGUUUUUUAUAGUUUUUCCUGUAUGUACAGAAUUUAGUUUGUGCGGUUCUGCAAAAACAGAAAAGUAUGAUGGCCCAUCGAAGAUGCUAUUCCUCUAUUUGCAAGACCGUAUGGGGAUAAAUGCGGUUGGAACAAAUGUUCUUGAAGGAAUUCUGUCAAAAAGCAGUGAUAUAAUAAAAUCCAGAAUUUGUAGUAAUCAGAUUUGGGUUAGUUUUCUAUAUAAUGAACAUUUAAAUUGUGCAUUUUGCAACUCACCACAGGCUUCGUUUGGGGAGUGCGCCACCGGACCGUGUGCCCUGUCCAUCAAGGAUGAGCGCCCUCGAGUUGUCAAUACGUAAAUAUGAUGAGCAACCAGACAAGAGUGUGGUCCGACCUGAGCUAGGUCUUAGUUUUGACUCGCUAGGGGAGGCGUACGAUUUCUAUAACUUGUAUUUGUGGGAAAUCGGGUUUGGCAUAAGAUAUGGGAAAAGCAGGCUCAAUGCCGAGAGGACAAAAAGCAUGCAGGAGAUAGUUUGUGGGUGUUCGGGGAAACCAGACGCUGAAAACAGCAGGUCCUAUAGGUGCAAGUGCCCAGCUCUGAUCAGGCUGCUAUGUGCAUCAGACAACAGUUGGUACAUAACAGAGCACCAGGCGAGCCACAAUCAUUCGAUGUCGCUUACAAUGGGAGAGAAAGUGCAUUGGCCGUCUCAUAAACACAUAGACGUGUAUACCAAGGAUUUGAUAAGAUAGUUGAGGGAGAACAACAUCAACCUUGGCAAGGUAUACAACAUAAUUGGAAUCUUCUUUGGUUCAGUUGAGAAGGUGCCCUUCACGAAAAGGACACUCAGGAACAUUUGUGGGAAGAUUAGUCGUGAACAGGCUGAAGAUGAAUUACGGAAGACACUGCAGGUGUUUGCCGACAUCUGGUCGAGUGACCCUGGUUUCUCCUAUGUGGUGCUUGCCGAGAAAGACAGCAAGGUGAAGAAUCUCAUGUGGGCUAAUGGGAGCAGAAGGAUGCAGUACAGGUUCUUUGGCGACGUGGUCACAUUCGACACCACAUACAGGACAAAUUUGUACAACAUGCCAUUAUGUUUAUUUGUCGGAGUUAACAAUCACUACCAGAGUAUCAUCCUGGCUGGCGUGCUGAUGCGUGACGAGCAAGAAGAGAGCUUUGAAUGGGUGUUUUCAGAAUUCAUUCGCAUGAUGGGCGGACCUGCACCUAAAACAAUACUAACAGGGCUAUGGAGGUUGCAAUCAAGAAAAUUUAUCCGAACACUGUCCACCGUUUGUGCAAGUGGCAUGUUCUGAAAAAGGCAAAAGAAACACUAGGGUGGCUUUACACAAAAAAAUGUGAUUUUCAAGCUGAAUUUCACAAAGUUGUUAACCACAUGCUAACUGAGGAAGAAUUUGAAUCAGCGUGGGAUGCGCUGCUUGAUAAAUACAAUUUGAGGGGGCAUAACUAUAUGACCCAACUAUAUGAGACAAGACAUAAAUGGGCGAAACCAUAUUUCAGAGAUGUGUUUUGUGCGAAAAUGACGAGUACACAGAGGAGUGAGAGUGCAAACCACAUGCUGAAAACGGACAUGCCCCCUGCAAGCCCAAUGCAUGUUUUCGUCUGACAAUACAUGAGACUUCAAUUUGACCGGAAGCGCGAUGAAAGCUAUGAGGAAAAGAGGACAAUGAUUGGCGGCGUCGUGCGGCGGACUAACCUUGCGAUAGAGCGCCAUGCCAGCAAAAUAUAUACUAGGAAUAUGUUUGAGAAAUUUGGCCGCCUACUGGUAGAAGGAACCGCAGAGUUGUGAUGUCCUUAUUUGAAACGACGCAGAGUUGUGUCGUUGAGCACAUGUAAGGUUAUAUGCUUUUCUGAACAAUUUGUUAGCUAAACUGAAUUUUACUCCUGGCUGUAUGAUAUGACUGUAUGAUAUGAUAAGAAAUCGUAACCGUUUGUGUUCUUGAAAUGUUUAUGGUUGUCUGCACAAUUUGAUAACUGAAGAAAAUUUCACAGCAUGUC